GCACUCACCGUGGGGAAGGGCGGCGAGGGCUGAUGCGAAGAGCAAUCUAAAAUUGUGAGGAACUGCAAGUGGUCUGUGUCCAUCCUUUGCUGAAGUGCCAGAGCCAGCCAGAGACACUGUGCUGCGUGAGACAGCUGGGAUAUACAAAUCGUCAAGCCCUUUAAACAAAGCACACCCAUGAGGAGCUUGGGCAAGACUUCACUGAAUAAGGAUAAUCAACACCUGCCACACAAAAGACCCAGCUACAUUUUCAAACGGUUGAACAGGUUUAUCAGUA
Molecule: long non-coding RNA, 277 nt
Organism: Varanus komodoensis (Komodo dragon)
Lineage: Eukaryota; Metazoa; Chordata; Lepidosauria; Squamata; Varanidae
Exons: 2
Source: RefSeq, a predicted model, not a curated record